Long non-coding RNA from Sander lucioperca (pikeperch), 293 nucleotides. RefSeq lists it as uncharacterized. The record is from RefSeq and is a predicted model, not a curated record. The transcript is spliced from 3 exons. NCBI's taxonomy places the organism in Eukaryota, Metazoa, Chordata, Actinopteri, Perciformes, Percidae.
AGAUGUCUGGAAGUCUGGAAUGUGUCUGGGGACACUACUUGUUGCACUAUGACCAUUAAUUGCACAUUAUUAUGUUGUUCUAUGCUCUAUUGCACAUGUUUUGUAUGUCUUGUUAUGACAUUUUGAUAUUUUUCAAAUUAAAACAUGUGUCAAGUUAAAGUACAUGGAAUCUUAGAAAAUCCUUUUUUUUUACAGUGGUAUCGAAAUCGGCAUCGAGAAUCGUGUUAUUUUACUGGUAUUGGCACCGACUACUGAAUUUUUGGUAUUGUGACACCCCUAAAGUGAAUCAAACA